Molecule: ribosomal RNA, 119 nt
Organism: Lepisosteus oculatus (spotted gar)
Lineage: Eukaryota; Metazoa; Chordata; Actinopteri; Semionotiformes; Lepisosteidae
Source: Ensembl
GCCAGCAGCCAUGUCACCCUGCAACUUACAAUUGGCAACCCACUGAAGCUAAGCAGGUGUGAGCCUGGUCAGUACCUGGAUGGGAGACCUCCUGGGAAACACUAAGGAUGCUGCUGGAA